UUUUUAUGAGAGUUUGAUCCUGGCUCAGGACGAACGCUGGCGGCGUGCCUAAUACAUGCA
RNAcentral lists this ribosomal RNA (60 nucleotides) under Enterococcus faecium. Its description in RNAcentral is "partial 16S ribosomal RNA". It matches the Rfam family "Bacterial small subunit ribosomal RNA", at positions 1 to 59 of the family's 1533-position model. The record is from RNAcentral. RNAcentral also lists the same sequence under 2 other names. Lineage: Bacteria; Bacillati; Bacillota; Bacilli; Lactobacillales; Enterococcaceae.